This 65-nucleotide transfer RNA is filed under the name Dipodomys ordii (Ord's kangaroo rat). It matches the Rfam family "tRNA". From Rfam's summary of the family: Transfer RNA (tRNA) molecules are approximately 80 nucleotides in length. Their secondary structure includes four short double-helical elements and three loops (D, anti-codon, and T loops). The record is from Rfam by way of RNAcentral. Lineage: Eukaryota; Metazoa; Chordata; Mammalia; Rodentia; Heteromyidae.
GGUGGCUCAAUGGUAGAGUGCUUGCCUUACAUGCAUGAGUCCCUGAGUUUGAUUCCUCAGCACCA